AGUACACAUCAGUGUAUUGCUUGUCAGUGAAUACAUAGCUGGCCGGCGGCAGACGCGGGGAACUGAAACAUCUCAGUACCCGCAGGAAGAGAAAGAAAACUCGAUUCCCAUAGUAGCGGCGAGCGAAGUGGGAAGAGCCCAAACCGAGAAGCUUGCUUCUCGGGGUUGUAGGACUGGACAUUGGAGUUACCAAAGUCCGACGUAGUCGAAGUCAGCUGGAAAGCUGCGCCACAGAAGGUGAAAGCCCUGUAAGCGAAACGUCGAACCCUCCGUCCAGGAUCCUGAGUACGGCGGAACACGUGAAAUUCCGUCGGAAUCCGGGAGGACCAUCUCCCAAGGCUAAAUACUCCCUAGUGACCGAUAGUGAACC
This 370-nucleotide ribosomal RNA is filed under the name Lacticaseibacillus paracasei subsp. paracasei. Its description in RNAcentral is "bacterial LSU rRNA". It matches the Rfam family "Bacterial large subunit ribosomal RNA", at positions 130 to 496 of the family's 2925-position model. Lineage: Bacteria; Bacillati; Bacillota; Bacilli; Lactobacillales; Lactobacillaceae. The record is from RNAcentral.